CCUACGGGAGGCAGCAGUAGGGAAUCUUCCGCAAUGGACGAAAGUCUGACGGAGCAACGCCGCGUGAGUGAUGAAGGUUUUCGGAUCGUAAAACUCUGUUAUUAGGGAAGAACAAAUGUGUAAGUAACUGUGCACAUCUUGACGGUACCUAAUCAGAAAGCCAUGGCUAACUACGUGCCAGCAGCCGCGGUAAUACGUAGGUGGCAAGCGUUAUCCGGAAUUAUUGGGCGUAAAGCGCGCGUAGGCGGUUUCUUAAGUCUGAUGUGAAAGCCCACGGCUCAACCGUGGAGGGUCACUGGAAACUGGGAAACUUGAGUACAGAAGAGGAAAGUGGAAUUCCAUGUGUAGCGGUGAAAUGCGCAGAGAUAUGGAGGAACACCAGUGGCGAAGGCGACUUUCUGGUCUGUAACUGACGCUGAUGUGCGAAAGCGUGGGGAUCAAACAGGAUUAGAUACCCUGGUAGUCCACGCCGUAAACGGUGAGUGCUAAGUGUUAGGGGGUUUCCGCCCCUUAGUGCUGCAGCUAACGCAUUAAGCACUCCGCCUGGGGAGUACGACCGCAAGGCUG
This 567-nucleotide ribosomal RNA is filed under the name uncultured bacterium. RNAcentral describes it as "bacterial SSU rRNA". It matches the Rfam family "Bacterial small subunit ribosomal RNA", at positions 338 to 896 of the family's 1533-position model. The record is from RNAcentral.